This 1301-nucleotide ribosomal RNA is filed under the name uncultured fungus. RNAcentral's name for it is "eukaryotic LSU rRNA". The stretch from base 634 to 1301 matches the Rfam family "Eukaryotic large subunit ribosomal RNA", at positions 1 to 649 of the family's 3401-position model. The record is from RNAcentral. Lineage: Eukaryota; Fungi.
AAGUCGUAACAAGGUUUCCGUAGGUGAACCUGCGGAAGGAUCAUUAUCGAAUACACUUGAGCAGGCUGUUGCUGGCCCUUGGGGGGUAUGUGCACGCUUGUCCUUUGUUAUUUCUCCAGCUUGUGCACAUUUUGUAGACCCUGGAGCUUUCAUGGAUUUAAUUUAAAUUCGAGUCGGGACUGCUGUUGCUUCCCUUUGUGAAGCCGGCUUUGCCUUGCAUCUCCAGGUCUAUGUCAUUUUUAUCACAACCUCAUGUUUAGAAUGUUGGAUCAGAAAUGGAAAAAAAAAAUAUACAACUUUCAGCAACGGAUCUCUUGGCUCUCGCAUCGAUGAAGAACGCAGCGAAAUGCGAUAAGUAAUGUGAAUUGCAGAAUUCAGUGAAUCAUCGAAUCUUUGAACGCAUCUUGCGCUCCUUGGUAUUCCGAGGAGCAUGCCUGUUUGAGUGUCAUUUAACUUCUCAAACCGCUUGAUAUGUCAAGUGNCUUGNAUUUGGGGGUCGUUUGCAGGCUUUUUCCAAAGGUCGGCUCCCCUGAAAUGNAUUAGUGNNAUCUGAGCUGCUACUAUAGGUGUGAUAAUUAUCUAUGNCUUUUGGGNAUNCUGUGCACUGCUUAGACGGAAAACAUUUGAUAAAUUUGACCUCAAAUCAGGUAGGACUACCCGCUGAACUUAAGCAUAUCAAUAAGCGGAGGAAAAGAAACUANCAAGGAUUCCCCUAGUAACUGCGAGUGAAGCGGGAAAAGCUCAANUUUGAANUCUGGCGGUUCUUGGACCCGUCCGAGUUGUAAUCUAGAGAAGUGUUACCUGUGCUGGACCGUGUACAAGUCUCCUGGAAUGGAGCAUCACAGAGGGUGAGANNCCCGUCUUUGACACGGACUACCUGUACGAUAUGGUGCGCUCUCGAAGAGUCGAGUUGUUUGGGAGUGCAGCUCAAAAUGGGUGGUAAAUGCCAUCUAAAGCUAAAUAUUGGCGAGAGACCGAUAGCGAACAAGUACCGUGAGGGAAAGAUGAAAAGAACUUUGGAAAGAGAGUUAAACAGUACGUGAAAUUGCUGAAAGGGAAACGCUUGAAGUCAGUCACGUCGGCUGGGAAUCAGCCUUGCUUUUGCUUGGUGUACUUUCUGGUUGAUGGGUCAGCAUCAAUUUUGACCAUCGGAUAAGGUCAUUGGGAAUGUGGCAUCUUAGGAUGUGUUAUAGCCCGUUGUCGCAUACGGUGGUCGGGAUUGAGGAACUCAGCACGCCGCGAGGCCGGGUCUUUUGACCACGUUCGUGCUUAGGAUGCUGGCAUAAUGGCUUUAAUCGACC